This 281-nucleotide ribosomal RNA is filed under the name unidentified marine bacterioplankton. Its description in RNAcentral is "partial 16S ribosomal RNA". It matches the Rfam family "Bacterial small subunit ribosomal RNA", at positions 40 to 339 of the family's 1533-position model. The record is from RNAcentral.
CGGCAUGCUUAACACAUGCAAGUCGAACGUGAAGCGACCUUCGGGUCGUGGAAAGUGGCGGACGGGUGAGUAACGCGUAGGAAUUUACCUAAAGGUACGGAACAACUAAUGGAAACGUUAGCUAAUACCGUAUGAUGCCUCCGGGCCAAGGAUUUAUCGCCUUUAGAUGAGCCUGCGUCGGAUUAGGUAGUUGGUGGGGUAAAAGCCUACCAAGCCGACGAUCCGUAGCUGGUCUGAGAGGAUGAUCAGCCACACUGGGACUGAGACACGGCCCAGACUCC